Non-coding RNA from Triticum urartu, 402 nucleotides. Lineage: Eukaryota; Viridiplantae; Streptophyta; Magnoliopsida; Poales; Poaceae. The record is from RefSeq and is a predicted model, not a curated record.
CCACUCCGCUUUGUUGCACUGGGCACAUGCUUCUGUUAGGACAUCACAUCACCGAAUCAAGCUGCCAACUUUGGAGCCUGAUUCGUGAUGGCUGCAAAAAAAUACCUGCAAUGGCUUCUACUGCAACUACUUCGUCCCCAACUCCAACAGCAAGCCUACCAUGUGGACCGAGGCCUGGCCUGGAUGUUCACGGCAUUUGGUGGCGCGGUGCCGCACCGGGCUGGUGGAGGACAUGGCGUUCAUGGUGGUAAGGUUCAUUCAGAAGUGCGGGUCCUUCGUCAACUACUACAUGUACCAUGGACCGGACCGCCGAUGGCCUGUUCAUCGCGACAAGCUACGACCAUGAUGCACCGAUCGACGAAUAUGGUACGCGACCAGUACUCCCGUUGCGACCAGUAUUCU